RNAcentral lists this non-coding RNA (26 nucleotides) under Mus musculus (house mouse). The record is from RNAcentral. Lineage: Eukaryota; Metazoa; Chordata; Mammalia; Rodentia; Muridae.
UGCUAACACCCAGCUUUCUAUGUGGG